RNAcentral lists this ribosomal RNA (170 nucleotides) under uncultured Thermovirga sp. RNAcentral's name for it is "partial 16S ribosomal RNA". It matches the Rfam family "Bacterial small subunit ribosomal RNA", at positions 1215 to 1382 of the family's 1533-position model. Lineage: Bacteria; Thermotogati; Synergistota; Synergistia; Synergistales; Thermovirgaceae. The record is from RNAcentral.
ACGACACGUGCUACAAUGGCCGGCACAGCGGGAAGCGAGGGGGCGACCUUGGAGCGGAUCCCUCAAAGCCGGUCUCAGUUCGGAUUGCAGUCUGCAACUCGACUGCAUGAAGUUGGAAUCGCUAGUAAUCGUGGAUCAGCCAAGCCGCGGUGAAUACGUUCCCGGGCCUU